AGCAGCCGCGGUAAUUCCAGCUCCAAUAGCGUAUAUUAAAGUUGUUGCAGUUAAAAAGCUCGUAGUUGAAUUUCGGGAUUGACUCGAUGGUCGUGCCUUAAGGGGUAUGAACUGUCGCUGUUGAUUUCUCACCUUCUGGAGAAGCUCGAUGUCCUUAAUUGGAUGUCUUGUGGAACCAGGACCUUUACCUUGAAAAAAUUAGAGUGUUUAAAGCAGGCAUUUUGCUCGAAUACACUAGCAUGGAAUAAUAGAAUAGGACGGCAUGGUUCUAUUUUGUUGGUUUCUAGGAUCACCGUAAUGAUUAAUAGGGAUAGUUGGGGGCAUUAGUAUUCAAUUGUCAGAGGUGAAAUUCUUGGAUUUAUUGAAGACUAACUACUGCGAAAGCAUUUGCCAAGGAUGUUUUCAUUAAUCAAGAACGAAAGUUAGGGGACCGAAGACGAUCAGAUACCG
RNAcentral lists this ribosomal RNA (450 nucleotides) under uncultured Entrophospora. RNAcentral describes it as "SSU rRNA". It matches the Rfam family "Eukaryotic small subunit ribosomal RNA", at positions 569 to 1017 of the family's 1831-position model. Lineage: Eukaryota; Fungi; Glomeromycota; Glomeromycetes; Entrophosporales; Entrophosporaceae. The record is from RNAcentral.